AGGUUUAAGGUCUCGAAGGUGAACCUGCGGAGGGAUCAUU
RNAcentral lists this ribosomal RNA (40 nucleotides) under Schizothyrium wisconsinense. RNAcentral describes it as "partial 18S ribosomal RNA". Lineage: Eukaryota; Fungi; Ascomycota; Dothideomycetes; Mycosphaerellales; Schizothyriaceae. The record is from RNAcentral.